Syngnathus typhle (broad-nosed pipefish) is the source of this 1248-nucleotide long non-coding RNA. RefSeq lists it as uncharacterized. The transcript has 4 exons. The record is from RefSeq and is a predicted model, not a curated record. NCBI's taxonomy places the organism in Eukaryota, Metazoa, Chordata, Actinopteri, Syngnathiformes, Syngnathidae.
CGUGCCGUCCGGGGACAAUCGAACUCUGCUGACACGGUUCUCGUGACCGUACAUUGUGGAAAUACGAUUUCCCUUCAGGACAUCCCACACAUGUAUGGUGUAGUCGUUGUAGCCGGCGAAGAGCAGGCGACCUGAGAGGAGAUUUACCACUGAGGGAAAAGUCCACGGUAGAUGCCCCAAAGAUGAUGCUGUCUUUCUGGUUCAAUCUCACGAGGAAUAAGACGACUUUGCUGGCGUCAACAUGGUUGCAGAAAAUCAUGCUGAAAAUGGAUCUUAUGAUUUCAUUUAGUGUGCUGCACUCACUUGACACAGUUGAUGUCAGACUCGUGGUUCUCAAAGGACUGGAUGUUCUGACCGGAGCGCAUGUCCCACACGUUAGCUUUCUUAUCGCAGCCCUUGAUAACAUGCACAGUACACCAUGUCAGUCGAUAUUGUCAUGUAAGAAUAAUACGAAUAAUCUGCUCUCUUACGCCAGACACAAAAGUGUUCCCGGUCUCGGAGGGGGCGAGGUCCAGUGACAAGAUGUCGGCGGUGUGACCGUGGAAGCUCUGCAGUAGCUGUCCGCUCUCCACGUCCCACAGAGCACACGUGCCAUCGCCACUGCUAUGACAACAUGAACAGCUUGCGUGAUGAAGACCAGACGAUGAGCACUUAGGAGACAAACGCCUCCAUCAGCGGUCCCGGCGGAUUAGAGAAUUCCCGCCGGGUGACCAAUCCAGACGCACUUCCUGUUUAGUGUCCACGGCAAAGGUCCGGUUUCAGUGCGAACGCGUCGCAAUUAUCAGUAAGCCACAAUUAGCGACACCACAGCAGAUGGGAGCCGCGCUGAUCCGACAUGAGAGCUUCAUGGUGGAGUAUGUGUGUGUGAAAAUAAAAAUGGAACACAUGACGCGUAGUACUAAAAUGAAUAGAGGCUUUCUGAAUUUCCGCCUGGAGCUCUACUUAGCAGGAUAAAGACUGUCCUCGUGUGCGUGCGUGGCCUCAAGCCACAAUGUUCCACUCUGUCUUAGAUAAAAGGCACUCAAGUUCUAAAAAUACUGACAAGUGGUGACCCCUUUGUCUCCUCCCACUAACCCUCCACGCUUUCUUAUUUUUGCCCCUACGGCCUCCUCUGUGGUCAAUCAAAGCGUGCGAUCUAAUAAUAUGUCCAUUUUGUCUCGAACAAUAAUCGCUUCAACUGAAUAUAAAGUCCGCUACUUUGGCUUUCAAAAUCAACUGCUUCUGUUGAAAAUGGCGCUCACCUGCAUG